CCUACGGGAGGCAGCAGUGAGGAAUAUUGGUCAAUGGACGAGAGUCUGAACCAGCCAAGUAGCGUGAAGGAUGACUGCCCUAUGGGUUGUAAACUUCUUUUAUAUGGGAAUAAAACGUUCCACGUGUGGGAUUUUGUAUGUACCAUAUGAAUAAGGAUCGGCUAACUCCGUGCCAGCAGCCGCGGUAAUACGGAGGAUCCGAGCGUUAUCCGGAUUUAUUGGGUUUAAAGGGAGCGUAGGUGGAUUGUUAAGUCAGUUGUGAAAGUUUGCGGCUCAACCGUAAAAUUGCAGUUGAAACUGGCAGUCUUGAGUACAGUAGAGGUGGGCGGAAUUCGUGGUGUAGCGGUGAAAUGCUUAGAUAUCACGAAGUACUCCGAUUGCGAAGGCAGUUCACUGGACUGCAACUGACACUGAGGCUCGAAAGUGUGGGUAUCAAACAGGAUUAGAUACCCCUGUAGUC
This 460-nucleotide ribosomal RNA is filed under the name uncultured bacterium. RNAcentral's name for it is "partial 16S ribosomal RNA". It matches the Rfam family "Bacterial small subunit ribosomal RNA", at positions 338 to 795 of the family's 1533-position model. The record is from RNAcentral.